UGCAAAUUGAAAGGGAAAUUGAAAUGUUAAGAAGGUCACCUGAACGCGAUAUUAACUUUGAAGGAGAGCAACCCUCUGCUGAAAAGAGGACACAGCAGUGACCUGAGUCUCCUGAUCCUGAACCUGAACCUGAACCUGAACCUGAACCUGAACCUGAACCUGAACCUGAACCCAGCUGUGUGUCCUUCAGGAGUGACCGGUCAAAUCAUCGCUUUUUUGACUUUUCAUUUUAUUGUGAAAAUCUGCUCCUGUUGCAGCCCUUCCUGCCUUCUUCCUGACAGGUGGAGCUGGGACUCAUUCCAGGGAACAGCUCACCUGUGUCAGACAUUUCUCUCCAGGUGGAGAGCGACCCUCUUCUUCAUCAACUCUUCUUCGUCAACUCUUGUUCAUCAACUCUUCUUCAUCAACUCUUUGGACUGUUUGAAGAAACUGACCCAUCAGAGACCAGACCCUGCUGAACCUGAACCUGA
Molecule: long non-coding RNA, 470 nt
Organism: Perca flavescens (yellow perch)
Lineage: Eukaryota; Metazoa; Chordata; Actinopteri; Perciformes; Percidae
Exons: 3
Source: RefSeq, a predicted model, not a curated record